GGAAACAAAAUCAAAGACUGGAUAGAGGCUGUUUCCCCUGCAAAACUCCCCCCCACACACACACACACACCCUCACCGUUUCCGCCCGUCUGUAUUCACCAGAAACCAGAGAUCACAAGCAGAGGACAAGCACAGAAUAAAAUAACACUGUGGACCUGUGGACUCUUCAAAGGACCGGCGUUCUCUGAGCGUGGCUGCAAUUCAGUGGCGAGGAGUUUUCCUUGCAGAGCAAAAUGGGCCGGAAGCCAGUUUACGAGGAGCGAGGGGGCGAAUCCAUCCCUGUGGUGUGAAGCGACAUACUGGUCUUUGUUUUCAGGUGCCUUUUGGGGCAGAGGAGGCGAAAAGAAGAGCACUGAUUUGAAGCCCGAAUCUGCAUUGGUAGCGUCCCUCCUGCCAAGUUUUAUUCCGGUUAUCAGAAGAUCACAGCUCUGGCUUUUUUAAAAGUUUCUUUGGGUGGAGUGAUAAGACGAACCCCAGAUGCAAGGAGGGAAGAGCACAGAAGGAAGGGGAAGAAGAAUGCCUUCUUAGCGAUUCUGCUUCUUCCUCGCCAACACAAUACGGCCGNCUGAAUAGCGAAUUUCUCUUGCCAGCUCCAGCAGACAAACUCUUUUGCUAUGCAAAGUCUUUGGAGCUGAAAUUGGCAUCUAGAGAAGAAGAGGCCGGUUAAAACUCUUGCUUUGUUACACUAAAGUCAGCUC
This 698-nucleotide long non-coding RNA is filed under the name Salvator merianae (Argentine black and white tegu). RNAcentral describes it as "lncRNA (ENSSMRG00000017652.1)". The record is from RNAcentral. Lineage: Eukaryota; Metazoa; Chordata; Lepidosauria; Squamata; Teiidae.